Non-coding RNA from Arachis ipaensis, 548 nucleotides. The record is from RefSeq and is a predicted model, not a curated record. NCBI's taxonomy places the organism in Eukaryota, Viridiplantae, Streptophyta, Magnoliopsida, Fabales, Fabaceae.
GGUAGACAGAUCAUGCACUUUGGAUUCAUUGGUUAACUUUGCCUUGUCCUUCCAGUGAAAGACUUUCCAGGAAUUAAGAUUGCGGAGGAGUCGGAAUGGAAGAAUAGCAUUUAGGGCUCAACAGGGGUGGUUAACUUGGCUGGAAUGCCCAUAAGUACCAGAUGGUCUUCGGAGAUAAAAACAGAAAUCAAGCAGAGCAUGAUUAGAGUAACAUCAAAAAAGAUAUAGUUGUGGUUUGGCAAAAAUCACGAGUGGUUAGCAAAUUGUUUUCCUGGAUUCAUUUGGAUGACAUUGUUAAUUUAAUAUAUGAAGCACUGAUAAAUCCCUCCUAUGAAGUGUGGCCAGCAUUUAGUAAAGAACAAAGAAGGCAGAGGAUAAUGUUGAGGAUGAUAAUGAAGAUUAAGCUGAUUAUUAUUGUGUUUUAUUGGCUAUAAGAUAGAGUAGUGUUGGAAAUGGAUACAUGUAUGGUUGAUUACUAAUGACUUUUAUUAGAAGAUACUUAUGUAGGAUAUGUUUCUCGUAGAGUAUUACUAGUAAAUUCUAAGUAG